UGGGGAAUUUUGCACAAUGGGGGAAACCCUGAUGCAGCGACGCCGCGUGAUUUAGAAGGCCUUCGGGUUGUAAAAAUCUUUUCUAUGGGAAGAAAAUGACAGUACCAUAGGAAUAAGGACCGGCUAAUUACGUGCCAGCAGCCGCGGUAAUACGUAAGGUGCGAGCGUUGUCCGGAAUCAUUGGGCGUAAAGGGUACGUAGGCGGGUAAGCAAGUUAGAAGUGAAAUCCUAUAGCUCAACUAUAGUAGGCUUUUAAAACUGCUCAUCUUGAGGUAUGGAAGGGAAAGUGGAAUUCCUAGUGUAGCGGUGAAAUGCGCAGAUAUUAGGAGGAAUACCGGUGGCGAAGGCGACUUUCUGGCCAUAACCUGACGCUGAGGUACGAAAGCGUGGGUAGCAAACAGG
Molecule: ribosomal RNA, 402 nt
Filed under: bacterium
Lineage: Bacteria
Description: partial 16S ribosomal RNA
Rfam family: Bacterial small subunit ribosomal RNA
Source: RNAcentral